UGGGGAAUAUUGCACAAUGGGCGCAAGCCUGAUGCAGCCAUGCCGCGUGUAUGAAGAAGGCCUUCGGGUUGUAAAGUACUUUCAGUCGGGAGGAAGGUGGUAAGGUUAAUAACCUUAUCAAUUGACGUUACCGACAGAAGAAGCACCGGCUAACUCCGUGCCAGCAGCCGCGGUAAUACGGAGGGUGCAAGCGUUAAUCGGAAUUACUGGGCGUAAAGCGCACGCAGGCGGUUGAUUGAGUCAGAUGUGAAAUCCCCGGGCUUAACCCGGGAAUUGCAUCUGAUACUGGUCAGCUAGAGUCGUGUAGAGGGGGGUAGGAUUCCAUGUGUAGCGGUGAAAAGCGUAGAGAUGUGGAGGAAUACCGGUGGCGAAGGCGGCCCCCUGGACAAAGACUGACGCUCAGGUGCGAAAGCGUGGGGAGCAAACAGG
This 429-nucleotide ribosomal RNA is filed under the name Chloroflexota bacterium. Its description in RNAcentral is "Chloroflexi bacterium partial 16S ribosomal RNA". It matches the Rfam family "Bacterial small subunit ribosomal RNA", at positions 355 to 776 of the family's 1533-position model. Lineage: Bacteria; Bacillati; Chloroflexota. The record is from RNAcentral.